GCUAAUUAUCUAGCCCCACCCUUCUUUAUUUAUUCUCUUAAUCAUUUUCUUUCAAUCAAAACAUUUUAUCAAUUUAGUAAAGGCGAUUAAAAAAUUUAUCGGCGCAAUAAACACAGUACCGCAAGGGAAAGAUGAAAUAAAAAUGAAAUAAUUUUUAAGCACAAGAAAGUAGAGCUUAACUCUCGUACCUUUUGCAUCAUGGUUUAACUAGUCUAACCAAGCAAAAAGACCUUCAGUUUGACCCCCCGAACCUAAGCGAGCUACUUUAGGACAGCUUUAUGAGCGAAUCCGUCUCUGUUGCAAAAGAGUGGAAAGAUCUUAAAGUAGAGGUGACAGACUUAACGAGCUUAGUGAUAGCUGGUUGCUCAUGAAAAGGAUUUUAGUCCCGCUUAAAGACACAUUUAUUUUUUAAAAUUAUCUUUUAAGUAACUCAAAUAAGGUACAGCCUAUUUGAAAAAGGAUACAACCUCAACCUCUGGGUAAUUUCUAUGAAUUUAUGACUAAGUAGGCCUAAAAGCAGCCACCUUCAACAAAAGCGUCAAAGCUUACUCAUUAAUUCACUUAAUUUCUUCAUCUUCCUCCAACCCCCCACUGUUAAAGAGCAGCUCUAUACCCCUAUAGAAAAUUUUAUGUUAAAACUAGUAAUAAGAAGAAAGCCCUUCUCUUUAAUGUUAGUGUAAACCAGUAAGGAUCCCCCACUGGUUAUUAACGUCCUUAACCCAUUAGUAACAACUCAUCAAGAAAAAAUUAUUUAAACUUACGUUAACCUAACACAAGAACAUUACAAGAAAGAUUUAAAGAAAAAGAAGGAACUCGGCAAAUAUUAGCCCCGCCUGUUUACCAAAAACAUCGCCUCCUGACUCCAAAUAGGAGGUCCAGCCUGCCCAGUGACAUUGUUUAACGGCCGCGGUAUCCUAACCGUGCGAAGGUAGCGUAAUCACUUGUUCUUUAAAUGAGGACUAGUAUGAAUGGCUUCACGAAGGCUAUACUGUCUCCUUUUUCUAAUCAAUGAAACUAAUCUUCUCGUGAAGAAGCGAGAAUAAAAUUAUAAGACGAGAAGACCCUAUGGAGCUUUAAACAAGAAAAUAUUUACUUUUUAUUUUUCAUCUACCAAGAGUAAAAUACAGCCAAGCACUUUAUUUUUAGUUUUAGGUUGGGGUGACCGCGGAGAAUAAACUAUCCUCCAUGCUGAAAGAAAUUCCAUCUCUUAGCGAAAAGCUACAGCUUGACGCAUCAAUAAAUUGACUUUCAUUGACCCAAUAAUUUGAUCAACGAACCAAGUUACCCUAGGGAUAACAGCGCAAUCUAUUUCAAGAGCUCAUAUCGACAAAUAGGUUUACGACCUCGAUGUUGGAUCAGGGUAUCCUAGUGGUGCAGCCGCUACUGACGGUUCGUUGUUCAACGAUAAAA
RNAcentral lists this ribosomal RNA (1410 nucleotides) under Hyloxalus sylvaticus (forest rocket frog). Its description in RNAcentral is "partial 16S ribosomal RNA". It matches the Rfam family "Bacterial large subunit ribosomal RNA", at positions 371 to 2592 of the family's 2925-position model. Lineage: Eukaryota; Metazoa; Chordata; Amphibia; Anura; Dendrobatidae. The record is from RNAcentral.